CCGACACGACCGUACCGCAAACCGACACUGGUGCGCGAGAUGAGUAUUCUAAGGCGCUUGAGAGAACUCAGGAGAAGGAACUCGGCAAAUUGACACCGUAACUUCGGAAGAAGGUGUGCCUUUAGUAGGUGAAGGGAUUUACUCCCAGAGCCCAAUGAGGUUGCAAAAAAUCGGUGGCUGCGACUGUUUAAUAAAAACACAGCACUCUGCAAACACGAAAGUGGACGUAUAGGGUGUGACGCCUGCCCGGUGCUGGAAGAUUAAAUGAUGGGGUGCAAGCUCUUGAUUGAAGUCCCAGUAAACGGCGGCCGUAACGAUAACGGUCCUAAGGUAGCGAAAUUCCUUGUCGGGUAAGUUCCGACCUGCACGAAUGGCGUAACGAUGGCCACACUGUCUCCUCCUGAGACUCAGCGAAGUUGAAAUGUUUGUGAUGAUGCAAUCUCCCCGCGGAAAGACGGAAAGACCCCAUGAACCUUUACUGUAGCUUUGUAUUGGACUUUGAACAGAUCUGUGUAGGAUAGGUGGGAGGCUUUGAAGUGUGGUCGCUAGAUCGCAUGGAGCCAACGUUGAAAUACCACCCUGGUGUGUUUGAGGUUCUAACCUAGGUCCAUUAUCUGGAUCGGGGACAGUGCAUGGUAGGCAGUUUGACUGGGGCGGUCUCCUCCCAAAGCGUAACGGAGGAGUUCGAAGGUACGCUAGGUACGGUCGGACAUCGUGCUAAUAGUGCAAUGGCAUAAGUGUGCUUAACUGCGAGACUGACAAGUCGAGCAGAUGCGAAAGCAGGACAUAGUGAUCCGGUGGUUCUGUAUGGAAGGGCCAUCGCUCAACGGAUAAAAGGUACUCUGGGGAUAACAGGCUGAUACCGCCCAAGAGUUCAUAUCGACGGCGGUGUUUGGCACCUCGAUGUCGGCUCAUCUCAUCCUGGGGCUGUAGCCGGUCCCAAGGGUAUGGCUGUUCGCCAUUUAAAGAGGUACGUGAGCUGGGUUUAAAACGUCGAGACAGUUUGGUCCCUAUCUUCCGUGGGCGCUGCAGAUUUGAGGAAGCCUGCUCCUAGUACGAGAGGACCGGAGUGGACACACCUCUGGUGUAUCGGUUGUCACGCCAGUGGCAUUGCCGAGUAGCUAUGUGUGGAAGAGAUAACCGCUGAAAGCAUCUAAGCGGGAAACUCGUUUCAAGAUGAGAUCUGCCGGGGCCUUGAGCCCCCUAAAGAGUCGUUCAAGACCAGGACGUUGAUAGGUCAGGUGUGGAAGCGCAGUAAUGCGCUAAGCUAACUGAUACUAAUUGCUCGUGCGGCUUGACCU
Molecule: ribosomal RNA, 1301 nt
Filed under: metagenome
Description: bacterial LSU rRNA
Rfam family: Bacterial large subunit ribosomal RNA
Source: RNAcentral